AGGAAGGUCCCCCACACUGGAACUGAGACACGGUCCAGACUCCUACGGGAGGCAGCAGUGAGGAAUAUUGGUCAAUGGGCGCGAGCCUGAACCAGCCACGUCGCGUGAAGGAUGACGGCCUUAUGGGUUGUAAACUUCUUUUACAGGGGAAUAAAGUGAGUCACGUGUGAUUUUUUGCAUGUACCCUGUGAAUAAGCAUCGGCUAACUCCGUGCCAGCAGCCGCGGUAAUACGGAGGAUGCGAGCGUUAUCCGGAUUUAUUGGGUUUAAAGGGUGCGUAGGCGGGAUAUUAAGUCAGCGGUGAAAGUUUUCGGCUCAACCUUAAAAUUGCCGUUGAAACUGUUAUUCUUGAGUGCAGUAGAGGUAGGCGGAAUUCGUUGUGUAGCGGUGAAAUGCGUAGAUAUAACGAGGAACUCCGAUUGCGUAGGCAGCUUACUAUAUUGCUACUGACGCUGAGGCACGAAAGUGUGGGUAUCAAACAGGAUUAGAUACCCUGGUAGUCCACACAGUAAACGAUGAAUACUAGCUGUUUGCGAUAUAUUGUAAGCGGCCGAGCGAAAGCAUUAAGUAUUCCACCUGGGGAGUACGUCGGCAACGAUGAAACUCAAAGGAAUUGACGGGGGCCCGCACAAGCGGAGGAACAUGUGGUUUAAUUCGAUGAUACGCGAGGAACCUUACCCGGGCUUGAAAUGCAGAUGACCGAAGUGGAGACACUUUUUCCAGCGAUGGCGUCUGUGUAGGUGCUGCAUGGUUGUCGUCAGCUCGUGCCGUGAGGUGUCGGCUUAAGUGCCAUAACGAGCGCAACCCUCAUUACUAGUUACCAUCAGGUCUAGCUGGGGACUCUAGUGAGACUGCCGGCGUAAGCUGUGAGGAAGGUGGGGAUGACGUCAAAUCAGCACGGCCCUUAUGUCCGGGGCGACACACGUGUUACAAUGGGGAGUACAGCGGGAAGCUACCUGGCGACAGGAUGCCAAUCUUUUAAAACUCUUCUCAGUUCGGAUCGGAGUCUGCAACUCGACUUCGUGAAGCUGGAUUCGCUAGUAAUCGCGCAUCAGCCACGGCGCGGUGAAUACGUUCCC
This 1078-nucleotide ribosomal RNA is filed under the name Bacteroidetes bacterium ADurb.BinA104. Its description in RNAcentral is "bacterial SSU rRNA". It matches the Rfam family "Bacterial small subunit ribosomal RNA", at positions 297 to 1375 of the family's 1533-position model. Lineage: Bacteria; Pseudomonadati; Bacteroidota. The record is from RNAcentral.